CUUUAUGUCCUCUAAUCUUCCUCCAAGUUUAUAUAAAAAGCUUUUGAAAUACGUUACUCCUUCUUCUGUCCUGCGGUGCCAAUGAAGACAAGGAAACUUCUUCUGACCAAAGGAUUAUAGAAACCAUGGGCCUUUUGUGAAAUGGGCUGUGGAAAUUGGUUACUAUGCCAGCUCAGAAAAAAUGAAGUAGAGAUGUUGCUAUGAGCACAUGCUGUGUUUCCUCCCUCUGGUCCUGAAAUGUUAACAGAUUUCUACGCAAUACGUGCUUUGACUCCAGGAGACUACAAGAGAUGCAGGGAACCAAGAGAACUUUGCAUUUUUGAAUUACAUUAAGUGAGUAGACUGGACUCCACAAGACACAGAGAAGGGACCCAAACCAACCAAAGGGACAAUCUUAUUGUAUAACUUUGUGUUUGGCCAGAAAAUCUAAGGAAAAGGAGAAGAAAAGGGAGGACAACUUGUUCUGGAUACCGUCUCCAAACAAUUGGAAGAGCAGAAGGUUAUCAGGAGUAGUCAGCAUGGAUUCUCCAAGGAAAAAUCAUGCUUGACCAACCUGACUUUAGGUUGAUUACUUUAAUACCACACAUUUCCACUUCUCCCUGGUGACCUCUAUAUGUGUGGUUUGCUGCAACUCAAAGCCCACCAUGGAAGAUACAUUUCUCAAUUUGUGCAGUAUAUCCUACUAAGCAUUGACGACUUGCUGCUGUUAUAAAAGAAACAAGGUUUAUAUAUUGUUAAGACCACUGAACUAAAUCAUUUUUGUCUGAGAUGAAUCUUCCUGAACUACAUUUCUUGGAUAAUAAUGAAUACCUCAAGUCACCAGGGAAAAAAAGAAAUGGAGGAGAAUUGGCUGGAAGUUUUUGAGGACACAGUAAACCUCAAUCUUCUAGAUAAAUCUGUGCUUCUGAUUCUAGCAUUUUGUUAGCUGGUGCUACUACAUAUUCCAACAGGGGAAUGCUGUUGGAAUAUGUAGUUCAUGAACAGAAUUCACCAUGCUCCAAAAAUGACAAAGUAACAUAACUUUUGUUUCUGUCUAUAAGAAGUCACUAAUCAUACAAGAGGCUGAAUACAGAUAAUUAUUUCAGAAUAGUAAAAAGUGAACAGUGAAACAGACUCCUCAGAUGUGAUCUUCAGUAAAGAAAGGCAUUUUGUGAGGUAAAAUGGCCUUCAGGAAUAUUAGCUGCCUGCUCAUGAAUCAAAAUAAAGCUUUUUACUGGUCCCUAACUGCAUAGUGAGCUCUAGAAUGUACAAAAAGUAAAUACAGAAUACUACUUAUGUGUUUUAUCUUUGUUGCUAUCAAAAUAUUCUGUCAUUUAAACAUUCAUAUUUUAGGAAUGUUGCAGGAAGGUUUUUGGGAGCUGUUACUGAUCCAACUGUUCAAGUUUGAAUCCUUUGGGAAUUAACAGCUCUCUGUUGUCAGUUGUAUAUUCUUUUAAACAACUUCUUAAACUAUGUGUUAUUUACAUCUAUGUUGCUAAAGUAUCCUGUGCUGUUUUACAUGCUCCUAUAGCCAAAUGUUUAUAUAUUCCUUAAAUUCAUACUGUGUGCAGAGUGAGAAAAGGGAUGAUCAUCACUUUCUGUAGUUGUAAAAAGGAGGCACUGCGGUGCAUAUUCUUCCCCUGAGUUUUCAGAGAACCAUGGAAAGAGGUGCAAACAGGUGCAGGGAAUUACAGGUAUAUCAGUGCCAUGAGAUUUGAUACAGCUCAGUGAGAACAAAGAUACCUCUGAUACUUUAAUUUCAUGAAAUUAAAGCAUCUUCAGAUGCAAAAUAUUUUCAGAUGUAAAAUCUUUUCUAGCCAAGACACUAUUUGAAAAGCCAUCCAACCUGUUCCCUUCCUUAUAGUAAGGAAGUCCAUAGUUGGUAAGAAAG
Gallus gallus (chicken) is the source of this 1870-nucleotide long non-coding RNA. The record is from Ensembl. Lineage: Eukaryota; Metazoa; Chordata; Aves; Galliformes; Phasianidae.